UCAAGCUCCGGUUCUCAAACGAUCACCGAACUUAAGCAACGUCGGGCCUGUACAGUACCUAGAUGAGUGACUGCUUAGGAAUACCAGGUGAUUG
Non-coding RNA from Acanthosepion pharaonis, 94 nucleotides. The record is from the annotation of a GenBank genome assembly. NCBI's taxonomy places the organism in Eukaryota, Metazoa, Mollusca, Cephalopoda, Sepiida, Sepiidae.